AUUCUGCCCAUGCGGGGAAGGAUGAGAAGCUUCGACCAAGGUUCGACUCGAGCGCCAGCGAGAGAGCGUUGCCGCAGGCAACGACCCGUAGGGCGAAGCGCGCAGCGCUGAGUAAUCCUUCCCCCA
RNAcentral lists this small RNA (126 nucleotides) under Escherichia coli. RNAcentral describes it as "partial RtT sRNA". It matches the Rfam family "RtT RNA". Rfam says of the family: This family represents a bacterial cis-regulatory element known as RtT RNA. The record is from RNAcentral. Lineage: Bacteria; Pseudomonadati; Pseudomonadota; Gammaproteobacteria; Enterobacterales; Enterobacteriaceae.